GACGAACGCUGGCGGCGUGCCUAACACAUGCAAGUCGAACGAGAAUCAUUUGAACAGAGGCUUCGGCCGACGGAAUUUUGAGGAAAGUGGCGAACGGGUGAGUAACGCGUGAGAAACCUGCCUUUCAGUGGGGGACAACAGUUGGAAACGACUGCUAAUACCGCAUGAUGCAGCUAGGGGGCAUCCCCUUACUGCCAAAGCUUUAUGUGCUGAAAGAUGGUCUCGCGUCUGAUUAGCUAGUUGGUGGGGUAACGGCUCACCAAGGCGACGAUCAGUAGCCGGUCUGAGAGGAUGAACGGCCACAUUGGGACUGAGAUACGGCCCAGACUCCUACGGGAGGCAGCAGUGGGGAAUAUUGGACAAUGGGCGAAAGCCUGAUCCAGCGACGCCGCGUGAAGGAAGACGGUCUUCGGAUUGUAAACUUUAGUGAGCAGGGACGAUAGUGACGGUACCUGCAUAGCAAGCCACGGCUAACUACGUGCCAG
RNAcentral lists this ribosomal RNA (485 nucleotides) under uncultured bacterium. RNAcentral describes it as "bacterial SSU rRNA". It matches the Rfam family "Bacterial small subunit ribosomal RNA", at positions 28 to 511 of the family's 1533-position model. The record is from RNAcentral.